Ribosomal RNA from Pteropus vampyrus (large flying fox), 119 nucleotides. The record is from Ensembl. Lineage: Eukaryota; Metazoa; Chordata; Mammalia; Chiroptera; Pteropodidae.
GUCUACGGCCUUGCUACCCUGAACCAGCUCAAUCCUGUCUGAUCUCGGAAGCUAAGCAGGAUAGGGCCUGGUUAGUACUUGGAUGGGAGACCACCUAGGAAGACCAAGUGUUGUAGGAG